GCCCGGUCGCGGUGGUUCCGCACUCCUAAAGCGGGUGUCGCAGGUUCGAAUCCUGCCGGGGGCACCA
This 67-nucleotide transfer RNA is filed under the name Streptomyces mirabilis. Its description in RNAcentral is "tRNA_Arg_CCT". The record is from RNAcentral. Lineage: Bacteria; Bacillati; Actinomycetota; Actinomycetes; Kitasatosporales; Streptomycetaceae.